UACGUAGGGGGCAAGCGUUGUCCGGAUUUAUUGGGCGUAAAGAGCGUGUAGGCGGUUUGGUAGGUCCGCUGUGAAAACUCGAGCUCAACCUCGAGACGCCGGUGGAAACCAUCAGACUAGAGUCCGGAAGAGGAGAGUGGAAUUCCUGGUGUAGCGGUGAAAUGCGCAGAUAUCAGGAAGAACACCCGUGGCUAAGGCGGCUCUCUAGUACGGUACUGACGCUGAGACGCGAAAGCGUGGGGAGCGAACAGGAUUA
RNAcentral lists this ribosomal RNA (256 nucleotides) under uncultured bacterium. RNAcentral's name for it is "partial 16S ribosomal RNA". It matches the Rfam family "Bacterial small subunit ribosomal RNA", at positions 524 to 780 of the family's 1533-position model. The record is from RNAcentral.